CAGAGUUGAAAAACUCCCUAACCCUUUGUUUACGUACCUGUUCAGUUGCUUCGGCAGGCGGCCCCAGGGCGGGGCCUCCAGCCUGCUCACGCAGGUGCCUGCCGCUGGCGCAAAAAAACUCUUGUUAUAUAUUACCACUCUGAGUCUAAAAACAAAUGAAUCA
Molecule: unclassified non-coding RNA, 163 nt
Filed under: soil metagenome
Description: partial internal transcribed spacer 1
Source: RNAcentral